This is a transfer RNA of 87 nucleotides. It matches the Rfam family "tRNA". Rfam says of the family: Transfer RNA (tRNA) molecules are approximately 80 nucleotides in length. Their secondary structure includes four short double-helical elements and three loops (D, anti-codon, and T loops). Further hydrogen bonds mediate the characteristic L-shaped molecular structure. tRNAs have two regions of fundamental functional importance: the anti-codon, which is responsible for specific mRNA codon recognition, and the 3' end, to which the tRNAs corresponding amino acid is attached (by aminoacyl-tRNA synthetases). tRNAs cope with the degeneracy of the genetic code in two manners: having more than one tRNA (with a specific anti-codon) for a particular amino acid; and 'wobble' base-pairing, i.e. permitting non-standard base-pairing at the 3rd anti-codon position.
GGAAGGGUGCAGGAGUGGUUUAACUGGCGAUCCUGGAAAGAUCGUGUACCAGAAAUGGUACCGCGAGUUCGAAUCUCGCCCCUUCCG